CUUGAUGGUGGCUGUGUGCAGGGCGCUUCGGCGCGCCGGUCAAUGCUGAAUACUCCCCGGUCUACUAACCUGCGCACAGCUGCCACCCUU
Molecule: non-coding RNA, 90 nt
Filed under: Pseudomonas jessenii
Lineage: Bacteria; Pseudomonadati; Pseudomonadota; Gammaproteobacteria; Pseudomonadales; Pseudomonadaceae
Also listed under: 1 other name
Source: RNAcentral